Molecule: ribosomal RNA, 998 nt
Filed under: Salmonella enterica subsp. enterica serovar Weltevreden
Lineage: Bacteria; Pseudomonadati; Pseudomonadota; Gammaproteobacteria; Enterobacterales; Enterobacteriaceae
Description: bacterial SSU rRNA
Rfam family: Bacterial small subunit ribosomal RNA
Source: RNAcentral
GCGGUAAUACGGAGGGUGCAAGCGUUAAUCGGAAUUACUGGGCGUAAAGCGCACGCAGGCGGUCUGUCAAGUCGGAUGUGAAAUCCCCGGGCUCAACCUGGGAACUGCAUUCGAAACUGGCAGGCUUGAGUCUUGUAGAGGGGGGUAGAAUUCCAGGUGUAGCGGUGAAAUGCGUAGAGAUCUGGAGGAAUACCGGUGGCGAAGGCGGCCCCCUGGACAAAGACUGACGCUCAGGUGCGAAAGCGUGGGGAGCAAACAGGAUUAGAUACCCUGGUAGUCCACGCCGUAAACGAUGUCUACUUGGAGGUUGUGCCCUUGAGGCGUGGCUUCCGGAGCUAACGCGUUAAGUAGACCGCCUGGGGAGUACGGCCGCAAGGUUAAAACUCAAAUGAAUUGACGGGGGCCCGCACAAGCGGUGGAGCAUGUGGUUUAAUUCGAUGCAACGCGAAGAACCUUACCUGGUCUUGACAUCCACGGAAGUUUUCAGAGAUGAGAAUGUGCCUUCGGGAACCGUGAGACAGGUGCUGCAUGGCUGUCGUCAGCUCGUGUUGUGAAAUGUUGGGUUAAGUCCCGCAACGAGCGCAACCCUUAUCCUUUGUUGCCAGCGGUCCGGCCGGGAACUCAAAGGAGACUGCCAGUGAUAAACUGGAGGAAGGUGGGGAUGACGUCAAGUCAUCAUGGCCCUUACGACCAGGGCUACACACGUGCUACAAUGGCGCAUACAAAGAGAAGCGACCUCGCGAGAGCAAGCGGACCUCAUAAAGUGCGUCGUAGUCCGGAUUGGAGUCUGCAACUCGACUCCAUGAAGUCGGAAUCGCUAGUAAUCGUGGAUCAGAAUGCCACGGUGAAUACGUUCCCGGGCCUUGUACACACCGCCCGUCACACCAUGGGAGUGGGUUGCAAAAGAAGUAGGUAGCUUAACCUUCGGGAGGGCGCUUACCACUUUGUGAUUCAUGACUGGGGUGAAGUCGUAACAAGGUAACCGUAGGGGAACCUGC